AAACAUGACUGGAUUAAAGAUAUUGAAACACAAGCACAAACUUGUCAGAUUUAUGACCGUUUAUUGAAUUUAAAAAGUCGACUAACAUAUGCAUUUUAUUUAUGCAAGCCCUUUGAUUUCACCCAUGGCUGUCUUUUUAUGUUGACAAACAGCAAAUGUCCCAAUACACCCAAAAAGAGUCAUUAAACAACAACUUUUUUUUAUUAUAAAGUUCAUGUUUUACAUGAUAAUUAUAUUUUCAUCUUGCAUAUAAAGUACCAACCCUAUUAUUUUCAACACUCUCUGCGUUUUCAUUUUAUUCUGUACUCAUAAUAAUUGUGUUG
Molecule: long non-coding RNA, 323 nt
Filed under: Mytilus galloprovincialis (Mediterranean mussel)
Lineage: Eukaryota; Metazoa; Mollusca; Bivalvia; Mytilida; Mytilidae
Source: RNAcentral